This is a non-coding RNA of Myotis lucifugus (little brown bat), 81 nucleotides long. The record is from Rfam. Lineage: Eukaryota; Metazoa; Chordata; Mammalia; Chiroptera; Vespertilionidae.
AGGCCUAGAGAGAGAAGCAGGGUCUGAUCCGUAGCCUCCGUGGCAGCUGCUGAUCAGCCGUUGCCUCUCUCUUUCUCUCCG